AAGAGGACUAAGGAUAUGUUUCUCGUUUAUGGAGGUGACGAAGAGCUCGUCGUAAACGGUUACGUCGACGCUAGCUUCGACACAGAUCUGGAUGACUCGAAGUCACAAACCGGAUACGUGUAUAUUUUGAAUGGAGGAGCAGUAAGCUGGUGCAGUUGCAAGCAAAGCGUCGUGGCGGGAUCUACAUGUGAAGCGGAGUACAUGGCGGCCUCGGAGGCAGCACAGGAAGCAGUCUGGAUGAAGGAGUUCAUUACCGACCUAGGGGUGAUUCCAAAUGCGUCGGGCCCGAUGACUCUCUUCUGUGACAACACUGGAGCUAUUGCCCUUGCGAAGGAGCCCAGGUUUCACAGGAAGACCAGGCAUAUCAAG
Molecule: ribosomal RNA, 369 nt
Filed under: Triticum aestivum (bread wheat)
Lineage: Eukaryota; Viridiplantae; Streptophyta; Magnoliopsida; Poales; Poaceae
Description: partial small subunit ribosomal RNA
Source: RNAcentral